Molecule: ribosomal RNA, 433 nt
Filed under: uncultured bacterium
Lineage: Bacteria
Description: partial 16S ribosomal RNA
Rfam family: Bacterial small subunit ribosomal RNA
Source: RNAcentral
AACGAACGCUGGCGGCAUGCCUAACACAUGCAAGUCGAACGAGACCUUCGGGUCUAGUGGCGCACGGGUGCGUAACGCGUGGGAACCUGCCCUUAGGUUCGGAAUAACUCCCCGAAAGGGGUGCUAAUACCGGAUAAUGUCUUCGGACCAAAGAUUUAUCGCCUUUGGAUGGGCCCGCGUUGGAUUAGCUAGUUGGUAGGGUAAAAGCCUACCAAGGCGACGAUCCAUAGCUGGUCUGAGAGGAUGAUCAGCCACACUGGGACUGAGACACGGCCCAGACUCCUACUGGAGGCAGCAGUGGGGAAUAUUGGACAAUGGGCGAAAGCCUGAUCCAGCAAUGCCGCGUGAGUGAUGAAGGCCUUAGGGUUGUAAAGCUCUUUUACCCGGGAUGAUAAUGACAGUACCGGGAGAAUAAGCUCCGGCUAACUCCGCG